RNAcentral lists this ribosomal RNA (492 nucleotides) under uncultured bacterium. Its description in RNAcentral is "partial 16S ribosomal RNA". It matches the Rfam family "Bacterial small subunit ribosomal RNA", at positions 29 to 507 of the family's 1533-position model. The record is from RNAcentral.
AGUGAACGCUGGCGGUAGGCCUAACACAUGCAAGUCGAACGGCAGCACAGUAAGAUCUUGCUCUUACGGGUGGCGAGUGGCGGACGGGUGAGGAAUACAUCGGAAUCUACUUUUUCGUGGGGGAUUACGUAGGGAAACUUACGCUAAUACCGCAUAUGACCUACGGGUGAAAGCAGGGGUUCUUCGGACCUUGCGCGAUUGAAUGAGCCGAUUCCGGAUUAGCUAGUUGGCGGGGUAAAGGCCCACCAAGGCGACGAUGCGUAGCUGAUCUGAGAGGAUGAUCAGCCACACUGGAACUGAGACACGGUCCAGACUCCUACGGGAGGCAGCAGUGGGGAAUAUUGGGCAAUGGGCGCAAGCCUGAUCCAGCCAUACCGCGUGGGUGAAGAAGGCCUUCGGGUUGUAAAGCCCUUUUGUUGGGAAAGAAAAGAAGCAGAUUAAAACCCCGCUGUUCUGACGGUACCCAAAGAAUAAGCACCGGCUAACUUCGUG